Hemicordylus capensis (graceful crag lizard) is the source of this 2039-nucleotide long non-coding RNA. RefSeq lists it as uncharacterized. NCBI's taxonomy places the organism in Eukaryota, Metazoa, Chordata, Lepidosauria, Squamata, Cordylidae. The transcript has 2 exons. The record is from RefSeq and is a predicted model, not a curated record.
CGCCCUUCCACCACGUCACGCACGUUUCGGUUCAGCACCGAGGACUGCCGCCCCAAUCCUGUACGCCUUUUACUCGCCGGUUGUUUAAAUCCGACUGUGUUUAAUGGGGCUCGGCUUCCUCCAACUAUUCCUGAAACCUGCAGAACCCCUGAAGGUACUUUUUCUUCUCAGUCCUGGGCUCGAUGGUUUACUGGAUGCCCACUGCAGCAUGGCUCAGAUCCCACCACCAUCUUUUGUUUUUUGUCCACCCUAUGAGAACCUGCGCUCCCUGGAAACAAUGGAGGGUCUAUUUCUGCAAUUCCAUCCUCACCAUACAAAGCCCUGAUUUUACUCCAACAAAACCAUAUUACUUUACUGCAUGGGUCCUGAAGGCCAGAGAAUAUAUAGUCAUUCCCCCUUACCUGCCAGCUUGGAAGGGUAUGCCUAUUUUUAUGAAGCUGCUCUUCAAGUCUUAGAUGUUUAUUUCAACCCUGCUUUGAAUGUGAUUGCUAAACGUUUUAUUCUAGAUCCCAGCUGCCUGGUGAAUCUAUCAAUCAGUAUAUCACAGCAUUGUGUGCCUUAAGUGUAACCUGUGAGUUUGCCAGCUUUACUGAUGAAAUGAUCAGAAAUCAGAUUGUUAUGAAAACAAACUGCUCCAUACAGCAUGAAAAAUUGCUAUUGGAGCAGAAACUUACCUUGGAUAAAGUUACAAAGACGGCUAGGAGGGUGGGAAAUGUUCUUCAUUGUGCCAAAUUGCUCUCUUUGGUACCCCAAAACCCACCUCCUGAAAUCCAGGUUGUUCAGUCUAAAUCCUUCCAAACGCAUUCUCCUCAUAUGGCACUGCCCCAGAAAGUGGCAGCACCACAAGAAAGGAGGCGCACCAAUGUGGAGACUCUGCUCACAAAGCCAAUUUUGCUCGCUAUCCUACACGAAAGGCCAUUUGCAACAAGUGCAAAAAAUGGGGGCAAAUCUUUGCUAAGGUUUGCAAGUCUGUUGUCCACCCUGUUAAGGAGUCUGAUCUCAAGAGAGGAACUGAAGAGGAAUUUGAUCUUGCCUCCAGUUUUGACCUUGCAGAUGAAGCUGAUGAAAGUGAUGGACUUUCAUACCAGAAGACCAAACAGCUCCUAUGCCAGAGAACCCUUUUGCUGUUUGGAUUCCCAACAAAUCCUGCGUUCUCAUGACAUGCUCCAUGAGAAAGUGCAUACUGUCAGGUUCUCUGGUUUUCAUUUAAGCAACAUGCCAAUCAUGUGAAUCAGGCAGCCCACUAUGUACCUAGUCACCACACAAGUGUUAUACUUAUCUUGUGGCAGCUUCAUUGAUUUCCUGCUCUCUUCCAGGCCAGAUUCCAAUUGCUGGUUUUGACUUUUAAAGCCUUACACGACUUGGAGGAACCAGGGUACCUAUCAGGCCACAUUUGCUCAUAUGAAUCUGUCAAUCUCCUUUGAUAUUCAUCACAGGACCUACUCUUGGUGUGCCACGGAUGCAGAUUCAGUUGGUGGAGACCAGAAACAGGGUCUUUUCGGUGGUAGCCCUCCUCUUUGGAAUGCCCUCCCCCAAGUGUUUCACCAGCCUCCCACCUUGAUACAUUCUUUAAAGAACUUGCAAACUCUUCUUUUCCAAUAAAUGUUUUAAAACUAGUUUUAGUCAGAUUUCUAGUUGUAACCAGUUUUAGACUCAUGUGAUAUUGCCCACAUCUUGACUCUUAUUUUGUUUUAUUGUAAGAUACUUCAAACAACAGUGUGCUGGAAGAGGGGGAUAUAAAUAUUUAUAAAUAAUACAUUAUUUAGUGGGGAGAGAGUCUCUCUCCAGUGCCUGUUAUUGGUGACGGUGGCAGCGGCAAUGUGCGUUUAAGACUGUGAGCCCUUUUCUUAUACCUUGUGCUAUGUAAACUGCUUGAGAACUUUUUUUGUUGAAAAGCCGUAUAUUAACAUUCUCAAUAGUAAUACUGAGACCAGUGGCCUACAUCGGGAGCUUUUGUAACAAUUACCAAGAUAAUAGAUGUGAAGUGUAUUGAACACUUGAAAUGCACUAUGUAAAUAAUAAAUAUUCUUACUAUUGUA